CAUCUCUGCCGCCCUCGGCCUCCCCCGACCUUCUCUACCGGCCGCCCCCGACCAUCUCUGCCGCCGCCGGCUGCCCCUGAACAUCUCUGCUGGCCUGCUGCCGCCGGCGUUCCUCCCGCCUCUCGUUCGUCGUAUUGGUCGCCGUCGAGCUCGCUGACCUGCGGUCCCGUCCACCGUCUACCUCGCCAUUCCGGUCGCCGUCAUCAUCUCGCAGUGUACUCUGUAGCCAUGGGAUCAGUCAUUCAGUCAGUGUUGGUCCCUGUCAUUCAUUCAGUCAGUGUACUCCCAGGUCAUGCCUUACUUUCAGUGUUGGUUCUGUAGUAGUUCUACGGUGUUGGUCCCUGUCAUUCAGUCAGUGUACAUGAACAAGUACAUGAAGAACUAGAUCAUAUUUGAUUGGAAAUGUUUUAUAUGAA
Non-coding RNA from Aegilops tauschii subsp. strangulata, 416 nucleotides. The record is from RefSeq and is a predicted model, not a curated record. NCBI's taxonomy places the organism in Eukaryota, Viridiplantae, Streptophyta, Magnoliopsida, Poales, Poaceae.